GACCUGCUUCUGGGUCGGGGUUUCGU
Molecule: non-coding RNA, 26 nt
Filed under: Macaca fascicularis (crab-eating macaque)
Lineage: Eukaryota; Metazoa; Chordata; Mammalia; Primates; Cercopithecidae
Also listed under: 5 other names
Source: RNAcentral